CUUGCUUGGGGUACUCGAGUGGCGAACGGGUGAGUAAUACGUGGGUAACCUGCCCUCUUCUUUGGGAUAAGCCCCGGAAACGGGGUCUAAUACCGGAUAUUCUGCUUCUGCCGCAUGGUGGGGGUUGGAAAGGUUUUUCGGUGGGGGAUGGGCCCGCGGCCUAUCAGCUUGUUGGUGGGGUGAUGGCCUACCAAGGCCUCGACGGGUAGCCGGCCUGAGAGGGUGACCGGCCACAUUGGGACUGAGAUACGGCCCAGACUCCUACGGGAGGCAGCAGCC
Molecule: ribosomal RNA, 279 nt
Filed under: uncultured Arcanobacterium sp.
Lineage: Bacteria; Bacillati; Actinomycetota; Actinomycetes; Actinomycetales; Actinomycetaceae
Description: partial 16S ribosomal RNA
Rfam family: Bacterial small subunit ribosomal RNA
Source: RNAcentral